GACGAACGCUGGCGGCGUGCUUAACACAUGCAAGUCGAACGGAAAGGCCUUUUCGGAGGUACUCGAGUGGCGAACGGGUGAGUAACACGUGGGUGAUCUGCCCUGCACUCUGGGAUAAGCCUGGGAAACUGGGUCUAAUACCGGAUAGGACCGCACCUUAGUGUGUGUGGUGGAAAGUUUUUUCGGUGUAGGAUGAGCCCGCGGCCUAUCAGCUUGUUGGUGGGGUAAUGGCCUACCAAGGCGGCGACGGGUAGCCGGACUGAGAGGUUGGUCGGCCACAUUGGGACUGAGAUACGGCCCAGACUCCUACGGGAGGCAGCAGGGGGGAAUAUUGCACAAUGGGCGCAAGCCUGAUGCAGCGACGCCGCGGGGGGGAGGACGGCCUUCGGGUUGUAAACGCCUUUCGCCAGGGACGAAGCGUUUUGUGACGGUACCUGGAGAAGAAGCACCGGCUAACUACGUG
This 463-nucleotide ribosomal RNA is filed under the name uncultured bacterium. Its description in RNAcentral is "partial 16S ribosomal RNA". It matches the Rfam family "Bacterial small subunit ribosomal RNA", at positions 28 to 507 of the family's 1533-position model. The record is from RNAcentral.